CGUCGAUCUAUGGCUUGUUUAAAACCGUAAUAAACGAAGAAAGACGUGAUUUGAGAAUGAAAUGUAAGUUGAAAUUAACUUUAUAUGCCUCAAAUUUUCCAUCCUAUGUUUCUUAAUGUAACUUCAGCUGUCUAAGUUCAAAAUACAAGCUCGCGAAAUUUGAGGAAUUUUGAAAAUAUGUAAAAAUAGCUUGACUUUGAACUGUAUUUUCUCAAAAAUAGCCCGUGGCCUCAAUUUCAAAUAUAGCUAAAUGAAAAGAAAAAAAAUUUCGGCGUUUGUAGGUAUCAAACAU
Non-coding RNA from Paramuricea clavata, 292 nucleotides. Lineage: Eukaryota; Metazoa; Cnidaria; Anthozoa; Malacalcyonacea; Plexauridae. The record is from the annotation of a GenBank genome assembly.